GCAGGAAUGGCCAGGAGGACAUUCCUGGCAAAAGGCACAGCAAGCACAGAAGCAGGCUGUCCUAAUACCCAGUCUUGGUUUUGUCUGCUUCCAGAUUAGGCAGCCUCUAGACCCUGAAGUUAACAGAGAGGACAAAACUUAGAAGCCUGGAUGAAGUCUGGUUACAGCAGAACAAGGUAUGGUGAGGGGCUGGGCAUGAAAUGAAGAAUGCAGAGUCAAUUCCAACCUUCUGGAGCUUAUCAUCAGGGAAGACAGGCACAGAAGCAGAUGUGCACACGAGGUGAAACGCUAGUCGGGUUAAUGGAGCACAAUGGCCCGGCUUUCCCAAGCUACAGGCAGCGUAUUCAGCAGGAAGUAAAUUCUGUUCGUCUUGAAAAUGUUUACCAAGCAUCUAAUGUGUGCUGGAUUCAGAAAAGACAAAGAUUAAACUUGCUGUCUGGCAGGGUGGGCUACGAUAAAUGCCACUGGCAAGGGUCAGAUGGUGAGCUGUAGGGAGCUCAGGCUUGGGAGAGAUCAGAGCCAGCUUGGCUUCCUGGAGGAGAAGGCAUUUGUGAUGGGCCCAGGUUGCACAGAUUGUCAGGGAAGAGGCUGAGCAGAGGCAUUCCAGGCAAGGGAAGCAGCAAGAGCCUGACAAGCCAAUCAACAACAGUACUUCCGCAUCCCCCACCAACUGCCCCACUCCCCCCUGCACGUCCUCUGCUCACCCCACCCUACCCACUCUCAGGAUUCUUAACUGACAGUUGAGACUCUCCAGAACAAAGCCUCCUUCUCUCUGUCCAGCUCACUGACCCAUGUUGCUCCUACGUAAACCUCUGCUCCAGCCACACAAAGCCACCUGCCAUUUCUUAAAUGCUCCCUCAGUUUUCUGUCCCUAUCUCACUCUGCAUUUCCAGACAAAGCCCCCUUCCCCAAUACUCUCUCCUCUGCCUCUCACUUUCCUACCCAUCAUUCAAGGUCCACCUAGAAUACCACCUCCUCUAUAAAUCUGCAAGUCUAUAAAUCUACAAAGCCUCCCUGAAUCUCUUCCAAACACUGCAACAUUUUGACUGCAUUUCCCUCCUGGCACUGAGCCCUUCCUGCCUUGUACUGUAAUACCUUUCCUUGUGAACCGUAAGCUCUGUGAGGGGAAUGCCAUGCCAUGUGGGUGUCUCUCCCAAGGGUCUUGGACAGGGGCACUCAGUGACAGACCGGAUGGGCAGCGCCCCGGCACACGCACAGGCCGUGAGCAAAGUGGUCAGAGGGAGAGGUUAAACAAACCUGCGCUUUGACCGGCAUUUAAGGGGACCCGGAGUUCUGUCACCAUUGGCUAUCCAGCCGGCAUCAUUGCCCUAGACUUAGGUGAGGCAUGGAGCUCGCCAACAGCCCCCGCAGCUCGCUCUAUUAUCCGGUCCUCGUAAUUGCUUCCAGGACGUUCAGGGCUCCUGGUGAGUCUGAUCAGAAAAUUUCCAACCAUUCUUCUGAUGCCAAACUUAGUAUGCAGAUGAAAUCUGUGUAA
This is a long non-coding RNA of Prionailurus viverrinus (fishing cat), 1495 nucleotides long. RefSeq lists it as uncharacterized. The record is from RefSeq and is a predicted model, not a curated record. The transcript has 4 exons. Lineage: Eukaryota; Metazoa; Chordata; Mammalia; Carnivora; Felidae.